ACUGUGCCAUGUCCCUCGACACUGUGACGUGUCCCUCACUGUUAUGCUAUGUCUCUCAUCACAGUGCCACGUCCCUCACUGCUUUGCCAUGUCCCUUGCUGCCAUGCCAGGGCCCUUGGCACCAUGCCAUGUCCCCCAUCACUGUGCCAUGUCCCUCGCCACUGUGCCACCAUGCAGCCCCGGAGCACUGUGCCAGCCUCCACUGCUGCAUUUGCUCUCUUGCCCCGAGCAAGGCCCCGAGCUGGAGCAGCCCCCCCGCCCAUCAGCAGCAUUUGCCACUUUGAAUGUUUGUGAAGAGGAAAUAACAGACAGAAACCACAGCAGGCAAAGCUUUGGAGAACUCACUUGUGCUCAUGCAAAUGUGGUGAGAGUGACAGUCUGGGCUCAGACAGCUUCUGGGUGACAUCAAACCUCCGGUUGUUUGUAGCAGCAAGGACCCGAGCAGCAGGACCUGAGGGUGGGGAGGUGCUCCAGGCACGUGUCACCAGCCCUUCCCACACUGGAGCCAGAGGCGUGAGGGCGCCGGAGCCGUCUGGAGCUGCCGGACGGCUGGAGCAAAGGCUCGGCGGAAGGGGAAUGCUAAUCAUGUUCUGUGCUGGCAACAGCCAGAAUGCUGCACAAUAAAUAGCCAUUUUAAUUACUGCACAAUAU
This is a long non-coding RNA of Pseudopipra pipra, 651 nucleotides long. RefSeq lists it as uncharacterized. NCBI's taxonomy places the organism in Eukaryota, Metazoa, Chordata, Aves, Passeriformes, Pipridae. The record is from RefSeq and is a predicted model, not a curated record. The transcript is spliced from 3 exons.